ACAAACUCCGAAUGCCAAUUAAUUUAACUUGGGAGUCAGAACAUGGGUGAUAAGGUCCGUGUUCGAAAGGGAAACAGCCCAGACCACCAGCUAAGGUCCCAAAAUAUAUGUUAAGUGGAAAAGGAUGUGGCGUUGCCCAGACAACUAGGAUGUUGGCUUAGAAGCAGCCAUCAUUUAAAGAGUGCGUAAUAGCUCACUAGUCGAGUGACACUGCGCCGAAAAUGUACCGGGGCUAAACAUAUUACCGAAGCUGUGGAUUGUCCUUUGGACAAUGGUAGGAGAGCGUUCUAAGGGCGUUGAAGCAUGAUCGUAAGGACAUGUGGAGCGCUUAGAAGUGAGAAUGCCGGUGUGAGUAGCGAAAGACGGGUGAGAAUCCCGUCCACCGAUUGACUAAGGUUUCCAGAGGAAGGCUCGUCCGCUCUGGGUUAGUCGGGUCCUAAGCUGAGGCCGACAGGCGUAGGCGAUGGAUAACAGGUUGAUAUUCCUGUACCACCUAUAAUCGUUUUAAUCGAUGGGGGGACGCAGUAGGAUAGGCGAAGCGUGCGAUUGGAUUGCACGUCUAAGCAGUAAGGCUGAGUAUUAGGCAAAUCCGGUACUCGUUAAGGCUGAGCUGUGAUGGGGAGAAGACAUUGUGUCUUCGAGUCGUUGAUUUCACACUGCCGAGAAAAGCCUCUAGAUAGAAAAUAGGUGCCCGUACCGCAAACCGACACAGGUAGUCAAGAUGAGAAUUCUAAGGUGAGCGAGCGAACUCUCGUUAAGGAACUCGGCAAAAUGACCCCGUAACUUCGGGAGAAGGGGUGCUCUUUAGGGUUAACGCCCAGAAGAGCCGCAGUGAAUAGGCCCAAGCGACUGUUUAUCAAAAACACAGGUCUCUGCUAAACCGUAAGGUGAUGUAUAGGGGCUGACGCCUGCCCGGUGCUGGAAGGUUAAGAGGAGUGGUUAGCUUCUGCGAAGCUACGAAUCGAAGCCCCAGUAAACGGCGGCCGUAACUAUAACGGUCCUAAGGUAGCGAAAUUCCUUGUCGGGUAAGUUCCGACCCGCACGAAAGGCGUAACGAUUUGGGCACUGUCUCAACGAGAGACUCGGUGAAAUCAUAGUACCUGUGAAGAUGCAGGUUACCCGCGACAGGACGGAAAGACCCCGUGGAGCUUUACUGUAGCCUGAUAUUGAAAUUCGGCACAGCUUGUACAGGAUAGGUAGGAGCCUUUGAAACGUGAGCGCUAGCUUACGUGGAGGCGCUGGUGGG
RNAcentral lists this ribosomal RNA (1246 nucleotides) under Staphylococcus aureus. RNAcentral's name for it is "partial 23S ribosomal RNA". It matches the Rfam family "Bacterial large subunit ribosomal RNA", at positions 949 to 2196 of the family's 2925-position model. The record is from RNAcentral. Lineage: Bacteria; Bacillati; Bacillota; Bacilli; Caryophanales; Staphylococcaceae.